GGUACAGUCUACAGAGUAGUUCGUAUCUGCGCACGGAGACGCUGGCGGCGUGCUCAAACAUGCAAGUCGAACGGAGUUAUUUAGCUUGCUAAUUAACUUAGUGGCGGACUGGUGAGUAACGCGUGAGUAAUCUGCCUAUUACAGGGGAGUAACAGUUGGAAACGACUGCUAAUACCGCAUAAGGACCACGGGAAGGCAUCUUCAAGGGGUCAAAGGAUACUGGUAAUAGAUGAGCUUGCGUAUCAUUAGCUAGAUGGUGAGGGUAAAGGCCCACCAUGGCGACGAUGAUUAGCCGAUCUGAGAGGAUGACCGGCCACACUGGAACUGAGAUACGGUCCAGACUCCUACGGGAGGCAGCAGUUAGGAAUAUUGGGCAAUGGAGGAAACUCUGACCCAGCAACGCCGCGUGAAGGAAGAAGGUUUUCGGAUUGUAAACUUCUGAUCUUGGGGAAAGAGAAAGUGAUGGUACCCAAGGAGAAAGCCACGGCUAACUACGUG
This 498-nucleotide ribosomal RNA is filed under the name uncultured bacterium. RNAcentral's name for it is "bacterial SSU rRNA". It matches the Rfam family "Bacterial small subunit ribosomal RNA", at positions 1 to 507 of the family's 1533-position model. The record is from RNAcentral.